Molecule: ribosomal RNA, 321 nt
Filed under: uncultured eukaryote
Lineage: Eukaryota
Description: partial 18S ribosomal RNA
Rfam family: Eukaryotic small subunit ribosomal RNA
Source: RNAcentral
CCCUUAGAUGUCCUGGGCCGCACGCGCGCUACACUGACAUGUUCAACAAGCCUCCUAGUUCGACAGGAUUUGGGAAAUCUUUGAACGCAUGUCGUGAUAGGGAUAGAUCAUUGCAAUUAUUGAGCUUGAACGAGGAAUUCCUAGUAAACGCGAGUCAUCAGCUCGCAUUGAUUACGUCCCUGCCCUUUGUACACACCGCCCGUCGCACCUACCGAUUGAAUGUUUCGGUGAAGAUUCCGGAUAGGACUUUUUUGAUUUAUUUCAAUUUUGUCUUAAAAGCUAUCUAAACCUCAACAUUUAGAGGAAGGUGAAGUCGUAACA